AAGAGACAGCAGCAGCCGCGGGAAAACGGAGGGUGCAAGCGUUAAUCGGAAUUACUGGGCGUAAAGCGCACGCAGGCGGUCUGACAAGUCAGAUGUGAAAUCCCCGGGCUUAACCUGGGAACUGCAUUUGAAACUGUCAGGCUGGAGUCUUGUAGAGGGGGGUAGAAUUCCAGGUGUAGCGGUGAAAUGCGUAGAGAUCUGGAGGAAUACCGGUGGCGAAGGCGGCCCCCUGGACAAAGACUGACGCUCAGGUGCGAAAGCGUGGGGAGCAAACAGGAUUAGAUACCCCAGUAGUCCCUGUCUCUUAUAC
RNAcentral lists this ribosomal RNA (310 nucleotides) under uncultured bacterium. RNAcentral describes it as "partial 16S ribosomal RNA". It matches the Rfam family "Bacterial small subunit ribosomal RNA", at positions 503 to 807 of the family's 1533-position model. The record is from RNAcentral.